Long non-coding RNA from Musa acuminata subsp. malaccensis (wild Malaysian banana), 3555 nucleotides. RefSeq lists it as uncharacterized. NCBI's taxonomy places the organism in Eukaryota, Viridiplantae, Streptophyta, Magnoliopsida, Zingiberales, Musaceae. The record is from RefSeq and is a predicted model, not a curated record.
GGACUUCCAUUCCAACUUCAAUCUCAGCUUCAAGGAGAAGACCUAAUCCCAAGUUUCUUUUGGUGGAGUUGGAGAAAGGAGGAGGCCACUGAUUGCUUGCUCAUGACGGCGAAGAGUACAGGCUUCGAAGCAGAAGAAGCUUCAGCUUCGAAGUUCUUGUUGGCCAUGUUUGGAUUAUGGGCCCAUAACUAUGAAGAGAUUAGCUGCACCGAUAUAAAAGAUGUCAUUGAGCUGCCUGCCCUUUAACACUAACGGAGACACUGGAGAUGGCGACUUCAUUGGAACACAGGUAGAAGUGAGAUCUCUCUCCCUUUCUUAGUUUGGAAGUCCAUAUACUGAAAUGUUCCUUUGCUGACAAAGUGAGAUUUACUACAGUGAUCUGACCUAAAUCUCUGUUACAAUGGGACCACAUUACAACAUAACAUGUGGUUUCGGGCUAAAGAGGCAAAGUGGUUCUAAAAGCUGAUCCUUUUGAGUUCUAACUUCUUAAUGGAUGUCGAAAGAGGAAGAUGUGGCCACCUCCAUUAGAAAGUUUUGGUGCCAUGGUGGUUUAUGCCAUCAGCAAGCUACAGGGAAAAAAGGUUUAUGGUAAGGAGAUGCCUGCUAUCUUUCAGAUGAAGAUCAAUACUUAUUCUGUUUGGUUUCAGUUCCUCCAAGUAUUUGGUGUGGUCCUUGUUAUAUAUGGGAGAAUAUGGUAGGAGUUGGUUGUCAGCAAGUGACUGGAGAACAGAUAGGAAGCAUUGCUUUCAGAUUUUAGCUCUCCUGAAUCUUGUCCCAAUCAAAACUCCUGUAGCUGAAGCCUUCAUGUGCGGGUGUGCUGCUCAUGGGCAAGAAAUGAAGAAGGACCUGACCCGGGAUUUCGAGGUUCUGCAAUCUAGUAUGCUUUAUCUGCACCCAAUACUCUUUUGAGUUCAGAAUGGAUUGUCAAUUUCCAGACACUUGAACUUGAGCAAACUUGACUAUUUAUCUGUUGUCUUUGACACCGAAAGGCUGUGAUUCCAGUGGGCACGGAAUAGGGUUCCAGAAAGCAAGCCAGUUUUCUCCAACCCAACAAAACCACAAUGAUGAUGCCAACUUGCAAGAUAUUGGGGUUGCUGGACCACCUGAUCCCAGUUAGAGAUAAGUACAGAUCUAAAGAAUCUCAAAGAUAGAUCAUAUGAUGAUCUUGUUGUUCCCUGCAUCGUGUCAUGUGAAAAGAACAAGCUAAACCAUUUGCACAGAAACAUUCUUGACAUUGAAUUAUUGGCAUGCAGGAUAUAUGGUCAGGAAUGCAUUACCUAAAGAUCUCCACUAGUCAACUGUUCAGUUCUGCUGACAAGUCUAUUUCUCAUUGGUGGAUUUGCAAGUAGCAAAAAUGUGACAGACAAGUUCCAUCCUUGCUUCCAACUACACAGAUGAUUGCUGUUAAAGACCCGGAGGACUAUAGGUGCUCAUGGGAGCAACUGGCAAGCACAAUGUGGUAGUGUAGACCAGCACCUAGACUAAGACAACUAAACCUCAUCUGUGGAACAUAAUUUCCUAUCAAACUUCCAAGUUGCUCCAACACAAAAAUGACACCUUUGGAAAGCUGCACCAUUGGAUUUUGUUGGGGGAUGUGGCAUUGAAACUCAAUUCAGAGGAUUUUCUAAAGCAAAUGCAUACUGCCAAAUAAAAAUGAGUGGUUCUUUUGUUAACCUAAUCUAAGAAACAAAAGAUGCUGGUGUCAAAAAAGCAAGGAGAUGCCAUUCGAGUGGAGUUAAUUGAAUCCAAACAAAAGAGGGGACUGAGGAGACAAAUAAGAGUUAAAUAUCUGAAGGAAAAAGGAUGUUUUUUCUCACAGAAAAGGAAAUAAAAGGGAAGAAAACAGAGACGCAGCAGAUCGAUAGGAGAAUGCUAAUUACCAUGGCUGUACCAUGUACACUACUUGUACAUGAAAAGAUAUGUUAUCCUUUGCAGUUGUAUCCUAUUGUGGAUAAAAAGGAGAAAAAAGCAAAAUGAUUCCAGACAAGUUACUAUUUAGUCAAUGAGAUGUCGAACCGGAUGAUAAGACUAUCUUACUCCUUUAUUCGGUGAUACAAUGACAUUCACAUCAAGAAUACUAAUCUUAGUAUAUAGAAUUAAAUUACAAAUAUGUAUCAAUCUAUCAAAGAAACAGAUGAUAUCAGAAUCAAAGACAACGUAUUGGUCAGGAAUAACAAGAAUGGGAUGUUAAAUGUGAAUCGCAAAGCUGAAAGCCCUGGAAAUAUGCCAACAAUAGAACAACAAGAACAAGUAAAAUUUGGCAAGCAGCAAGGAUGGUAAUCCCAGAAUUGGCAUCAAAGUCUUACUCUACUAGAAUAUAUGUCAUAGUUAUUCAGGGAACAAACCAGCAUUUAGUGAGCAAAACAAUCAGUAAUGUUUAUUCUAAUUUUCUGUAUGAUGCCAACAAGACAAGGAUCAAAGACUUAUAUGGUUCAGACUCAAUUUUGAUCAAUUUGCUCUUUAGAUUAUAGAUUUUGUGAUUUGUUUUCCUCAUUUGAGCAGGGAGAAUAAGAGAAUCCAAGAUGAAGCUCUCACCUGAACAGACCGAGUAAUAUCUCCAUGAUUUGUCUGAAUUUUGAUCCAGCUAAAUUUGACCAGUGAAUGAUCAGGUUUCUAGGAUAAUUGCAGAAAGAAGGAAGCUGAUAUCUUGUUUUAUGUUGCCACACAGUCUCAGGCAAAUAGCAGACAUUAUCUUGACUCAGAUUCCUUGUGUUGUGUAAACAAAGCCCUAACACCAGAUAUUUUGGAAUAGGAGAAUGCAGCUGUGAGUUCUUUACAAAAUACUUGAUGGAGAAGAUGAAUCUACUGUAUUCACAAAGCAGUUCCCAGAUGGUAACACGGAGAUGAUCAUUAACAAGAAGGAUGACAACAGGAAAAGAUAUAAUCACAGUUGCAGGCAAAUUCAAGCUUCAAACUUGGAAAGUUGAUAUUUUUCAUGCUCAUUUGACAAACUGAAAGAGUGCAAUUCCUUGCUAAGAUCUCAAGUAUAACUCAAGCUAAAUGGUCAACCAGUAAUCUAUGAUGUCAUGAUGUCUCACUUUGAUCAUUCACUGUUGGACAUUCUUUCCUGCAUCCUUUCAACAGGACUGGUCGAUUGAAGGUUGUGGAGGACAUCCGAAAACUAAUCCUUCGUAUUUCUGAAAGUAUUUUCUGCAAUUAAUUGCGGGGGACAUGCUUUAUAUUUCAAGUUGAGUCUACGUUUUAUGGGAGUUUCAAGCAUAGUUUUAAGCCUCCUCUCAACAUUUAUACAACAAUCACAAACAAGACGCAAACAAAUGCAAUCUUUGUAAUGGAGUAUUCUUUUCAGAUUCAUCUCCGAGAUACUGCAACUGAGUGGCCAAAUUAAAUUGUGUUGGGUGAUUACUCUGAGAGACACAAACAUAAGUUCAGUGGCAUGCUCCUUGAGACAAGAUUACAGUAUGUUUUACACACUGUUUUACCUAGAUUGAGCACAUAGUGGAAAAAGCCAUGUAUGCGUCCUUACACUACAACAGGAGAGACCAUUGAUAUCAUUUUAUCUGAUAUAUGACAUAGUUUGCUACUUUGCUUGUAGUA